This 340-nucleotide transfer-messenger RNA is filed under the name Acetobacter indonesiensis. RNAcentral describes it as "transfer RNA". The stretch from base 17 to 298 matches the Rfam family "Alphaproteobacteria transfer-messenger RNA", at positions 39 to 355 of the family's 355-position model. Rfam says of the family: Bacterial tmRNA, also known as 10Sa RNA or SsrA, is named for its dual tRNA and mRNA-like properties. Lineage: Bacteria; Pseudomonadati; Pseudomonadota; Alphaproteobacteria; Acetobacterales; Acetobacteraceae. The record is from RNAcentral.
AGGUGCAGGAGGGGCUUGCCCCUUGGCUAUGGCGAUAAACGGAACGUGGAAUAAGCGUAGUGGACCCGGGGGCAGUACCCGGCGUCUCCACCAUAAAAAUCCGGCCCUUGUGGCAUUGGAUAGAUGGGGACGAAACAGGCUCGACACGCGUGGUAAAGACCUUCUUUUUGCCCGGCAUUGUACCGCCGUUAUCGGGCUAAACUUACAAGUGCCAACGAUAACUCAGAGGUGCUCGCUGUCGCUGCAUAAGCGAUAAGCGCGGUUCGGGAGGGCACCGGGCAACAGAAGCCCUCCCACUUUUUAGCCUUCAUCCCUGUUUAUUUUUACGCUUUCAGGCGUU